Molecule: non-coding RNA, 730 nt
Organism: Carica papaya (papaya)
Lineage: Eukaryota; Viridiplantae; Streptophyta; Magnoliopsida; Brassicales; Caricaceae
Source: RefSeq, a predicted model, not a curated record
UCAUAUGUUAAGGGUGCAUCAGCUGAUGUGGCUGGAGCCACUGCUGCCAGGGAAGCUUCAAAUGGUGGGCCAUUGAAGAAGACACGUGCUGCCAGUAACUUCUCCCAAAAUAGCAUGACAUCUGAUACUAUAGAAGCUACAAUUUUGGACUUGGAGGAACUUGUUAGCCGGGUCAAAUGGACUAAAAAUAUCUUAGAAUCUGGAAAUCCAUCUUUACAUACUUCCAGGCCCAUGUGGAAAUUUCUGGAAAAUCCUGCAUCAUUAAUACCCAAUUCUGAUAAGGAAAGAAAGUGCGGAGAAACACUAAGGAUUUAUUUGUUUAAGUCAUUUGCUUCACUUUUUCCACCAAUACCAUGAAAUUUUCUGUGAACAUUGGAAAGAAAAUGACGUUCUCAUAAAUUUCCGAGAGGCAAGGACAGAGGAAGAUGGAGAAAUUUGUGAAUAUGCCUCCAUCAACAUAUGUUCGGUAGGUUCUAGAAUUCGACUGAAUGCCACUUUUUAAGUUUUGGUAUUUCUGGUUAAUUUCAAGAUUGAUUAUUGGGGUGUUCUGAAACUGGUUGGAUGUAAUAUUUCUUAGGGAUCUCUAACAUCCACUUAAUCCUCUGGCUUGUCUUUUUCUUCAUUUUACAUGCUUUCAGUGGAAAUGUAAAUGUACUCAGAUGUUUCAGUUUUACUAAGUAAGAAAUUAUCUUCUUCCAAAACUGAAUAUGGAAAGGUUGCAACUUUUGUC